Molecule: long non-coding RNA, 945 nt
Filed under: Homo sapiens (human)
Lineage: Eukaryota; Metazoa; Chordata; Mammalia; Primates; Hominidae
Description: HSALNT0397314
Source: RNAcentral
CUGGGAAGAGAGCUGACAACCUUCUGUGGUAAGGGGUGAACAUCCUUGGGAAGCCACAGAGAGCAAGGCGCAGUUUUUCAUUGAUCACCACUUUCAAGAUGCUCCCAGAAUCGUGCUGUCUAGGAAGCCAUUUAAACUGGUGAGAAGCCAUCCUCUCUUGAAUGGGGGCUCCCACUGUACAUCUGGCACCCACUUCACAGAUUCUGGGGGAUGUCAACACCAGCACUGCUGAGCUGUGUGACCUUGAGCAAGACAGUUAGCCUCUCUGAACCUCAGUGUCCUUCUCUGUAGGCUGGAGAUUGAUAUACCUUCAUUAUCGGGGUAUGAGAGUGUUAUAAGGUGGGAUGGUGGAACACGCUGACUGGUCUGGGCUAUUCAAGAUCCAUGAACUGGAAGAUGCUUUCUUAUAACUCAGAGAAAAGAGAUGAAAAUGAAUCAAAGAACAGGAAGGAGACAAGCUCAGGAGAGUCACCCUAAGAAGGAUGUGUGGAAGACUUGACUGGAGGAUCAAAAUGUGUCGGGGGAAGGUGUACAAGGAGGAGUAAGGACACAGAUGUCCUGACUUCACACAGUGGGGGAUUAGAAGCCACCAUCAAACACAGAUGAAACAGGAAUAAAAGUAGUAGUACAUUACUUAAGCUUUAAAAGGGUAAGACUCCUGGGAAUUUGGAAGCUGAGACUUGAGGAGCAGAGGCAUUUAGCUGUGUAAACACAGAGCUUCAGUGGCAGCACCCUAAAUGCUUAGCUGAUAGAUCCGGAAUUAAAUACAGACCUAGAAACUGGAGUUGGAAAACUUCCUGGCAGCACUCCUUCCCUGCCAUCCCGGUGAUCCCCUUCUGGAUGGAGGGUGUGGAGCUCAGCACAUUCACGUCUGCAGCCCUGAACUGCUUGUCUUUUGCCUUGUUAUCUUUCCUGGACUGUGAACUUCCCAAGUGAAGAGCAUUG